Molecule: transfer RNA, 74 nt
Filed under: Cyphobasidiales sp. Tagirdzhanova-0007
Lineage: Eukaryota; Fungi; Basidiomycota; Cystobasidiomycetes; Cyphobasidiales
Description: tRNA-Ile
Rfam family: tRNA
About the family: Transfer RNA (tRNA) molecules are approximately 80 nucleotides in length. Their secondary structure includes four short double-helical elements and three loops (D, anti-codon, and T loops).
Source: RNAcentral
GGCCGCAUAGCUCAGUUGGUUAGAGCAUUGUACUAAUAAUGCAGUGGUCGACGGUUCGAGCCCGUCUGUGGUCA